GCCUGAUCCAGCCAUACCGCGUGCGUGAAGAAGGCCUUCGGGUUGUAAACCGCUUUUGUCAGGGAAGAAAUACUUCGGGCUAAUACCCUGUGGUGAUGACGGUACCUGAAGAAUAAGCACCGGCUAACUACGUGCCAGCAGCCGCGGUAAUA
RNAcentral lists this ribosomal RNA (152 nucleotides) under uncultured Hydrogenophaga sp. RNAcentral describes it as "partial 16S ribosomal RNA". It matches the Rfam family "Bacterial small subunit ribosomal RNA", at positions 381 to 525 of the family's 1533-position model. The record is from RNAcentral. Lineage: Bacteria; Pseudomonadati; Pseudomonadota; Betaproteobacteria; Burkholderiales; Comamonadaceae.